RNAcentral lists this ribosomal RNA (235 nucleotides) under uncultured bacterium. RNAcentral describes it as "partial 16S ribosomal RNA". It matches the Rfam family "Bacterial small subunit ribosomal RNA", at positions 1257 to 1500 of the family's 1533-position model. The record is from RNAcentral.
GCAAUGGGAUGCGAAUCUCGAAAGCCUGUCCCAGUUCGGAUUGGAGGCUGAAACCCGCCUCCAUGAAGUUGGAUUCGCUAGUAAUCGCGCAUCAGCCAUGGCGCGGUGAAUACGUUCCCGGGCCUUGUACACACCGCCCGUCAAGCCAUGGGAGCCGGGGGUGCCUGAAGUUCGUGACCGCAAGGAGCGACCUAGGGCAAAACUGGUGACUGGGGCUAAGUCGUAACAAGGUACC